UACGUAGGGCGCAAGCGUUAUCCGGAAUUAUUGGGCGUAAAGAGCUCGUAGGCGGUUUGUCGCGUCUGCCGUGAAAGUCCGGGGCUUAACCCCGGAUCUGCGGUGGGUACGGGCAGACUAGAGUGCAGUAGGCGAGACUGGAAUGCCUGGUGUAGCGGUGAAAUGCGCAGAUAUCAGGAGGAACACCGAUGGCGAAGGCAGGUCUCUGGGCUGUAACUGACGCUGAGGAGCGAAAGCAUGGGGAGCGAACAGG
This 253-nucleotide ribosomal RNA is filed under the name uncultured bacterium. Its description in RNAcentral is "partial 16S ribosomal RNA". It matches the Rfam family "Bacterial small subunit ribosomal RNA", at positions 524 to 776 of the family's 1533-position model. The record is from RNAcentral.